This 543-nucleotide ribosomal RNA is filed under the name uncultured bacterium. RNAcentral's name for it is "bacterial SSU rRNA". It matches the Rfam family "Bacterial small subunit ribosomal RNA", at positions 8 to 597 of the family's 1533-position model. The record is from RNAcentral.
AGAGUUUGAUCCUGGCUCAGACGAACGCUGGCGGCAUGCCUAACACAUGCAAGUCGAACGAGACCUUCGGGUCUAGUGGCGCACGGGUGCGUAACGCGUGGGAAUCUGCCCAGGGGUUCGGAAUAACUCAGGGAAACUUGAGCUAAUACCGAAUGAUGCCGCAAGGCCAAAGAUUUAUCGCCCGUGGAUGAGCCCGCGUCCGAUUAGCUAGUUGGUGGGGUAAAGGCCUACCAAGGCGACGAUCGGUAGCUGGUCUGAGAGGAUGAUCAGCCACACUGGGACUGAGACACGGCCCACCACUCCUACGGGAGGCAGCAGUGGGGAAUAUUGGACAAUGGGCGAAAGCCUGAUCCAGCAAUGCCGCGUGAGUGAAGAAGGCCUUCGGGUUGUAAAGCUCUUUUGCCCGGGACGAUAAUGACGGUACCGGGAGAAUAAGCCCCGGCUAACUCCGUGCCAGCAGCCGCGGUAAUACGGAGGGGGCUAGCGUUGUUCGGAAUUACUGGGCGUAAAGCGCACGUAAGCGGCCACUCAAGUCACAGGUGA